ACGGAGGGCGCGAGCGUUGUUCGGAAUCAUUGGGCGUAAAGCGCGUGUAGGCGGCUGGGCAAGUCGGAUGUGAAAGCCCGGGGCUCAACCCCGGAAUUGCAUUCGAAACUGCCUGGCUCGAGUCUCGGAGAGGAGGGCGGAAUUCCCGGUGUAGAGGUGAAAUUCGUAGAUAUCGGGAGGAACACCAGUGGCGAAGGCGGCCCUCUGGACGAUGACUGACGCUGAGAUGCGAAAGCGUGGGGAGCAAACAGGA
Molecule: ribosomal RNA, 253 nt
Filed under: uncultured prokaryote
Description: partial 16S ribosomal RNA
Rfam family: Bacterial small subunit ribosomal RNA
Source: RNAcentral